AGGUGCGAUCAUACCAGCACUAAUGCACCGAAUCCGGCGAGAGUAGUACUAGGAUGGGUGACCUCCUAGUAAUCCUCGUGUUGCACUUC
RNAcentral lists this ribosomal RNA (89 nucleotides) under Vigna angularis (adzuki bean). Lineage: Eukaryota; Viridiplantae; Streptophyta; Magnoliopsida; Fabales; Fabaceae. The record is from RNAcentral.